Molecule: long non-coding RNA, 270 nt
Filed under: Elaeis guineensis (African oil palm)
Lineage: Eukaryota; Viridiplantae; Streptophyta; Magnoliopsida; Arecales; Arecaceae
Description: long non-coding RNA (EGUI_LNC047704)
Source: RNAcentral
UAUUGGUUGAGUUCAGAACUCAUCACUUUUUUGUGGAUCGAUAAUUUUCACUACUGAUAGACAUGAUACAAACUCUCACUGAUGUCGAUCAGCUGCAUAGGUCAUCCAACUUCUACAAAUCGUCCACUCGAAGCCCUGAUCGGAUCUUCCUUCGCAGGAGUGCUUGCUCACAUCGAAGGCUCUGGAUGGCUGAUCCAAGCUCCUUUCUUUGGAUCUUUUGGACUCUUUUAGAUUAGAAGAUGAAGCUUUAUGAGGAAGUGAUGGUGUGGA